AACGAACGCUGGCGGCAGGCCUAACACAUGCAAGUCGAGCGGACCCUUCGGUGUUAGCGGCGGACGGGUGAGUAACGCGUGGGAACUUGCCCUUUGCUUCGGAAUAGCCCUGGGAAACUGGGAGUAAUACCGGAUACGCCCUUUUGUGGAAAGAUUUAUCGGCGGAGGAUCGGCCCGCGUUGGAUUAGGUAGUUGGUGGGGUAAUGGCCUACCAAGCCGACGAUCCAUAGCUGGUUUGAGAGGAUGAUCAGCCACACUGGGACUGAGACACGGCCCAGACUCCUACGGGAGGCAGCAGUGGGGAAUCUUAGACAAUGGGGGAAACCCUGAUAGAGACAUGCCGCGUGAGCGAUGAAGGCCUUAGGGUUGUAAAGCUCUUUCACCGGGGAAGAUAAUGACGGUACCCGGAGAAGAAGCCCCGGCUAACUCCGUG
This 433-nucleotide ribosomal RNA is filed under the name uncultured bacterium. RNAcentral describes it as "partial 16S ribosomal RNA". It matches the Rfam family "Bacterial small subunit ribosomal RNA", at positions 29 to 507 of the family's 1533-position model. The record is from RNAcentral.